AGUGAACGCUGGCGGUAGGCCUAACACAUGCAAGUCGAACGGCAGCACAGGAGAGCUUGCUCUCUGGGUGGCGAGUGGCGGACGGGUGAGGAAUACAUCGGAAUCUACUCUGUCGUGGGGGAUAACGUAGGGAAACUUACGCUAAUACCGCAUACGACCUACGGGUGAAAGCAGGGGACCUUCGGGCCUUGCGCGAUUGAAUGAGCCGAUGUCGGAUUAGCUAGUUGGCGGGGUAAAGGCCCACCAAGGCGACGAUCCGUAGCUGGUCUGAGAGGAUGAUCAGCCACACUGGAAGUGAGAGACGGUCCAGACUCCGACGGGAGGCAGCAGUGGGGAAUAUUGGACAAUGGGCGCAAGCCUGAUCCAGCCAUACCGCGUGGGUGAAGAAGGCCUUCGGGUUGUAAAGCCCUUUUGUUGGGAAAGAAAUCCAGCUGGCUAAUACCCGGUUGGGAUGACGGUACCCAAAGGAUAAGCACCGGCUAACUUCGUGCCAGCCGCCGCCGUAA
This 506-nucleotide ribosomal RNA is filed under the name uncultured bacterium. RNAcentral describes it as "partial 16S ribosomal RNA". It matches the Rfam family "Bacterial small subunit ribosomal RNA", at positions 29 to 523 of the family's 1533-position model. The record is from RNAcentral.